UGGGGAAUAUUGCACAAUGGGCGAAAGCCUGAUGCAGCGACGCCGCGUGGGGGAUGACGGUCUUCGGAUUGUAAACUCCUUUCAGUAGGGACGAAGCGAAAGUGACGGUACCUGCAGAAGAAGCACCGGCCAACUACGUACCAGCAGCCGCGGUAAUACGUAGGGUGCAAGCGUUGUCCGGAAUUACUGGGCGUAAAGAGCUCGUAGGCGGUUUGUCACGUCGUCUGUGAAAUCCUCCAGCUCAACUGGGGGCGUGCAGGCGAUACGGGCAGACUUGAGUACUACAGGGGAGACUGGAAUUCCUGGUGUAGCGGUGAAAUGCGCAGAUAUCAGGAGGAACACCGGUGGCGAAGGCGGGUCUCUGGGUAGUAACUGACGCUGAGGAGCGAAAGCAUGGGGAGCAAACAGG
This 409-nucleotide ribosomal RNA is filed under the name bacterium. Its description in RNAcentral is "partial 16S ribosomal RNA". It matches the Rfam family "Bacterial small subunit ribosomal RNA", at positions 355 to 776 of the family's 1533-position model. The record is from RNAcentral.